This 440-nucleotide ribosomal RNA is filed under the name uncultured bacterium. Its description in RNAcentral is "partial 16S ribosomal RNA". It matches the Rfam family "Bacterial small subunit ribosomal RNA", at positions 338 to 795 of the family's 1533-position model. The record is from RNAcentral.
CCUACGGGUGGCUGCAGUGGGGGAUAUUGCACAAUGGGGGGAACCCUGAUGCAGCGACGCCGCGUGGGUGAAGAAGCGCCUCGGCGCGUAAAGCCCUGUCAGCAGGGAAGAAAAUGACGGUACCUGAAUAAGAAGCCCCGGCUAACUACGUGCCAGCAGCCGCGGUAAUACGUAGGGGGCAAGCGUUAUCCGGAAUUACUGGGUGUAAAGGGUGAGUAGGCGGCAUGGUAAGCCAGAUGUGAAAGCCUUGGGCUUAACCCGAGGAUUGCAUUUGGAACUAUCAAGCUAGAGUACAGGAGAGGAAAGCGGAAUUCCUAGUGUAGCGGUGAAAUGCGUAGAUAUUAGGAAGAACACCAGUGGCGAAGGCGGCUUUCUGGACUGAAACUGACGCUGAGGCACGAAAGCGUGGGGAGCGAACAGGAUUAGAUACCCCUGUAGUC